Molecule: long non-coding RNA, 1390 nt
Organism: Anarrhichthys ocellatus (wolf-eel)
Lineage: Eukaryota; Metazoa; Chordata; Actinopteri; Perciformes; Anarhichadidae
Exons: 4
Source: RefSeq, a predicted model, not a curated record
UGUGUCUGACCGAGCAGCGAGCGGAUCUCUGAGGGCUCACGGAGCUGCGGAGGGAGUCACACGCUCACCUCGACCAAUCAGAGACGCACUGGCCUGAAGACCGUGAAGCACCAGAGCCAGGUGGAGGUGGACCAGUCGGAGGAGGUUGACAUCAUCGGACUGGACGGGCAUAUUUACAAGGGUCGCCUGAACACACCUGCCAGAAAUACAGAAACUAAACUACCUACAAUCUCUACCAAAGACGGUAAAGCUAAAGACAAGACCAGGUGCUCUCUGCCCCAAAAACCCACCGCUUCUCCAGAUGUUCAUCACCCACUCAGUGUCAAGAGUGCUCAGUGCAGCCGCUCAACCUCCAGCAGCUCUGGGAGGGACUGGCCCGUGUCGGCUCUGGGCUGCACGUCUCAGAGCUCCGUCAGUCCUUCAGCAGCAGCAGAGAGCAGCUCAGAGCGGCACGCUGACGAGCCUCCCGGCCUGUAGGGGGCGACUCUCUGUCAUGUGUAGUAAAGUUGUGCAGACCGAAGGUAAAGCUGCUUUCAUCCUCUUAUUGUUGUCAUUGGAUUCAUUUGAUUUGCUCCAUGAAUCACAUGUCAAACAGUCCAGUGCUGUGACCUCGUGAUGUUUCUAUUGUUUCACUUUGAUUCUCUGUGAUCAGCCACUUUAAGUAUUGUCAUUAAGAAUAAUAUAAUAACUAUAAUAUGAAGCUUUUCAGUACCCGUAUUAAAUACUUGAAUUAAGCCUGUAGUUACAACGUAUGAACCCUUUCUACACUAUAAGUCUGUUACUCUAUAUUGUUGUUAUUAUCAAUGUGUUGGUCCGUCUCUUAAUACCGUCUGACUUCCUGUCUGUGUCUCUGAGCUCCGACCCCAUUGGCCGCUACUGAAGACGUAAAUCUUUAAAAACACAAACAUAUAGUUUCAUCUUGAAACUUCAUGUUAAAGUUUCAAACAAAGCGGAGUCAGAACGUGAAGUAAAUACAGAACUUUAGUGUAAUUCCUAUAAAUACUUAUUACUGAUGUAUGAAUCAUUCAAAUGUCGGAAGAGAAACAUCCUCAGUGUGUUUAACGUCAGCUCUGUGUGGCAGGAGGCCAUGACCCCGAGUGUUGCAUCAUGGGAGGAAGCAGCGGUAGACUUCCUGUUAUCAGAAACAUCAGGCCGAGAGCAGGAAGGACGUGCUGAUGAGUAAAGAUGAAAGGGGGGGGCUUUACUUGGAAGUGCUCCAGAUCACUUCCUGUCGUUGAAGAAGUUGGUUUUAUGUCAUGUGACUAUUUUGUGGUCAAUGUGUUGGUUCUGAAGUAUUUUAUUAUGAAGACGGAGAGAAUAUUUACUCAAGUACUGUAUUCUGAAUCCUACUUUAUCACAAGUAUUCUCAGCUCCAUGCAGUAAAAGUACA